RNAcentral lists this ribosomal RNA (443 nucleotides) under uncultured bacterium. RNAcentral's name for it is "partial 16S ribosomal RNA". It matches the Rfam family "Bacterial small subunit ribosomal RNA", at positions 338 to 795 of the family's 1533-position model. The record is from RNAcentral.
CCUACGGGAGGCAGCAGUGGGGAAUAUUGGGCAAUGGGCGCAAGCCUGACCCAGCAACGCCGCGUGAAGGAAGAAGGCUUUCGGGUUGUAAACUUCUUUUGUCAGGGACGAAGCAAGUGACGGUACCUGACGAAUAAGCCACGGCUAACUACGUGCCAGCAGCCGCGGUAAUACGUAGGUGGCAAGCGUUAUCCGGAUUUACUGGGUGUAAAGGGCGUGUAGGCGGGGAAGCAAGUCAGAUGUGAAAACCACGGGCUCAAACUGUGGCCUGCAUUUGAAACUGUUUUUCUUGAGUACUGGAGAGGCAGACGGAAUGCCUAGUGUAGCGGUGAAAUGCGUAGAUAUUAGGAGGAACACCAGUGGCGAAGGCGGUAUGCUGGACAGCAACUGACGCUGAGGCGCGAAAGCGUGGGGAGCAAACAGGAUUAGAUACCCCAGUAGUC